RNAcentral lists this transfer RNA (65 nucleotides) under Parainocellia braueri. RNAcentral's name for it is "tRNA-Tyr". Lineage: Eukaryota; Metazoa; Arthropoda; Insecta; Raphidioptera; Inocelliidae. The record is from RNAcentral.
GGUAAAAUGACUGAUUAAAGGUGAUAAAUUGUAAAUUUAUUUAUGAGAAAUUUUCUCUUUUACCA